RNAcentral lists this transfer RNA (71 nucleotides) under Dipodomys ordii (Ord's kangaroo rat). It matches the Rfam family "tRNA". Rfam says of the family: Transfer RNA (tRNA) molecules are approximately 80 nucleotides in length. Their secondary structure includes four short double-helical elements and three loops (D, anti-codon, and T loops). The record is from Rfam by way of RNAcentral. Lineage: Eukaryota; Metazoa; Chordata; Mammalia; Rodentia; Heteromyidae.
GGGAAUAUAGCUCAAUGGUAGAGCAUUUGCCUCACAUGCACAAGGGCCUGGGUUUGAUCACAGCAUUGCCA